UGAGAAACAAGGUGAUUGGUUCACAAGAGU
This 30-nucleotide non-coding RNA is filed under the name Mus musculus (house mouse). The record is from RNAcentral. Lineage: Eukaryota; Metazoa; Chordata; Mammalia; Rodentia; Muridae. RNAcentral also lists the same sequence under 1 other name.